ACUCGAGUGGCGAACGGGUGAGUAACACGUGGGUGAUCUGCCCUGCACUUCGGGAUAAGCCUGGGAAACUGGGUCUAAUACCGGAUAGGAGCCAUUUUUAGUGUGAUGGUUGGAAAGUUUUUUCGGUGUAGGAUGAGCUCGCGGCCUAUCAGCUUGUUGGUGGGAUAAUGGCCUACCAAGGCGGCGACGGGUAGCCGGCCUGAGAGGGUGGACGGCCACAUUGGGACUGAGAUACGGCCCAG
This 242-nucleotide ribosomal RNA is filed under the name uncultured Actinomycetales bacterium. RNAcentral's name for it is "partial 16S ribosomal RNA". It matches the Rfam family "Bacterial small subunit ribosomal RNA", at positions 89 to 334 of the family's 1533-position model. The record is from RNAcentral. Lineage: Bacteria; Bacillati; Actinomycetota; Actinomycetes; Actinomycetales.